GAUGAAGAACGCAGCGAAAUGCGAUAAGUAAUGCGAAUUGCGGAAUUCAGUGAAUCAUCGAAUCUUUGAACGCACAUUGCGCCCGCUAGUAUUCUGGCGGGCAUGCCUGUCUGAGCGUCAUUUCAACCCUCGCCCCCGGCUUUUGCUGGGAGCGGUGUUGGGGAUCGGCCGCCCGUCACUGGGAGGCCGGCCCCGAAAUAGAGUGGCGACCACGCCGUGUGCUCCUCUGCGUAGUAGUAAAUCACCUCGCAGGCGGACAGCGGUGCGGCCUGCCGUAAAACCCCCAACUCUUUCUGGUUGACCUCAGAUCAGGUAGGAAUACCCGCUGAACUUAAGCAUAUCAAUAAGCGGAGGA
This 355-nucleotide unclassified non-coding RNA is filed under the name soil metagenome. RNAcentral's name for it is "partial contains 5.8S ribosomal RNA, internal transcribed spacer 2, and large subunit ribosomal RNA". The stretch from base 1 to 120 matches the Rfam family "5.8S ribosomal RNA", at positions 35 to 154 of the family's 154-position model. The record is from RNAcentral.